RNAcentral lists this ribosomal RNA (400 nucleotides) under uncultured bacterium. Its description in RNAcentral is "bacterial SSU rRNA". It matches the Rfam family "Bacterial small subunit ribosomal RNA", at positions 355 to 748 of the family's 1533-position model. The record is from RNAcentral.
UGGGGAAUUUUGCGCAAUGGGCGAAAGCCUGACGCAGCAACGCCGCGUGUGUGAUGAAGGUCUUUGGAUUGUAAAGCACUUUCGACCGGGACGAAAACCCCUGGGCUAAUACUCCAGGGCUUGACGGUACCGGGAGAAGAAGCACCGGCUAACUCUGUGCCAGCAGCCGCGGUAAUACAGAGGGUGCAAGCGUUGUUCGGAAUUAUUGGGCGUAAAGCGCGUGUAGGCGGCCUUGCAAGUCGGAUGUGAAAGCCCUCGGCUCAACCGAGGAAGUGCGUUCGAAACUGCAGGGCUUGAGUGCCGGAGAGGGUGGCGGAAUUCCCCAAGUAGAGGUGAAAUUCGUAGAUAUGGGGAGGAACACCGGUGGCGAAGGCGGCCACCUGGACGGUGACUGACGCUG